GUAGGGUGCGAGCGUUAAUCGGAAUUACUGGGCGUAAAGUGUGCGCAGGUGGCCGCGCAAGUCGAGUGUGAAAUCCCCGAGCUUAACUUGGGAAUUGCGCUCGAAACUACGUGGCUCGAGUGUGGCAGAGGAAGGUGGAAUUCCACGUGUAGCGGUGAAAUGCGUAGAGAUGUGGAGGAACACCGAUGGCGAAGGCAGCCUUCUGGGCCAACACUGACGCUCAUGCACGAAAGCGUGGGGAGCAAACAGGAUUAGAUACCCUGGUAGUCCACGCCCUAAACGAUGAUGACUAGUUGUUGGGGGAGUUAAAUCCCUUAGUAACGCAGMUAACGCGUGAAGUCAUCCGCCUGGGGAGUACGGUCGCAA
Molecule: ribosomal RNA, 366 nt
Filed under: uncultured bacterium
Lineage: Bacteria
Description: bacterial SSU rRNA
Rfam family: Bacterial small subunit ribosomal RNA
Source: RNAcentral